GGGGAUGCUUUAUUGUAGGGAAGAUAUCACAAGGUUGCAGUUCAACAGAAGUGUUGCAUGACAAUACUCAGUUAAAAAAGAUUUGUGCAUAUGCAAAUGUGCUUUUUAUGUCAAACUGUUACAAUCUUAUUUUAUAAAGUGCUACUUCAAGUGUGAUGUACACUUGCAAUAAACUUAUCCUGCUUUCAAUCCCCCUCCUCCUCCCCG
Molecule: long non-coding RNA, 207 nt
Filed under: Mytilus galloprovincialis (Mediterranean mussel)
Lineage: Eukaryota; Metazoa; Mollusca; Bivalvia; Mytilida; Mytilidae
Source: RNAcentral